This 70-nucleotide transfer RNA is filed under the name Gampsocleis sedakovii. RNAcentral describes it as "tRNA-Val". It matches the Rfam family "tRNA". Rfam says of the family: Transfer RNA (tRNA) molecules are approximately 80 nucleotides in length. Their secondary structure includes four short double-helical elements and three loops (D, anti-codon, and T loops). Further hydrogen bonds mediate the characteristic L-shaped molecular structure. tRNAs have two regions of fundamental functional importance: the anti-codon, which is responsible for specific mRNA codon recognition, and the 3' end, to which the tRNAs corresponding amino acid is attached (by aminoacyl-tRNA synthetases). tRNAs cope with the degeneracy of the genetic code in two manners: having more than one tRNA (with a specific anti-codon) for a particular amino acid; and 'wobble' base-pairing, i.e. permitting non-standard base-pairing at the 3rd anti-codon position. RNAcentral also lists the same sequence under 3 other names. Lineage: Eukaryota; Metazoa; Arthropoda; Insecta; Orthoptera; Tettigoniidae. The record is from RNAcentral.
CAAAAUAAAGCUUAAAGUGAAGCAUCUCAUUUACACUGAGAGGAUGUUCGUGCGAUUCGAAUUAUUUUGA